UACGUAGGUGGCAAGCGUUGUCCGGAUUUACUGGGCGUGAAGAGCGCGCAGGCGGUUGGAUAAGUCGAAUGUGAAAGCCCACGGCUCAACUGGGGAGGGUCAUUCGAUACUGUCCAACUUGAAGGCAGGAGAGGGCAGCAGAAUUCCCGGUGUAGUGGUGAAAUGCGUAGAUAUCGGGAGGAAUACCAGUGGCGAAGGCGGCUGCCUGGCCUGUUCUUGACGCUGAGGCGCGAAAGCUGGGGGAGCAAACGGG
RNAcentral lists this ribosomal RNA (253 nucleotides) under uncultured bacterium. RNAcentral's name for it is "partial 16S ribosomal RNA". It matches the Rfam family "Bacterial small subunit ribosomal RNA", at positions 524 to 776 of the family's 1533-position model. The record is from RNAcentral.